Molecule: ribosomal RNA, 483 nt
Filed under: uncultured bacterium
Lineage: Bacteria
Description: partial 16S ribosomal RNA
Rfam family: Bacterial small subunit ribosomal RNA
Source: RNAcentral
AUUGAACGCUGGCGGCAGGCCUAACACAUGCAAGUCGAGCGGAUGAAGGGAGCUUGCUCCUGGAUUCAGCGGCGGACGGGUGAGUAAUGCCUAGGAAUCUGCCUGGUAGUGGGGGAUAACGUCCGGAAACGGGCGCUAAUACCGCAUACGUCCUGAGGGAGAAAGUGGGGGAUCUUCGGACCUCACGCUAUCAGAUGAGCCUAGGUCGGAUUAGCUAGUUGGUGGGGUAAGGCCUACCAAGGCGACGAUCCGUAACUGGUCUGAGAGGAUGAUCAGUCACACUGGAACUGAGACACGGUCCAGACUCCUACGGGAGGCAGCAGUGGGGAAUAUUGGACAAAGGGCGAAAGCCUGAUCCAGCCAUGCCGCGUGUGUGAAGAAGGUCUUCGGAUUGUAAAGCACUUUAAGUUGGGAGGAAGGGCAGUAAGUUAAUACCUUGCUGUUUUGACGUUACCAACAGAAUAAGCACCGGCUAACUUCGUG